Molecule: ribosomal RNA, 253 nt
Filed under: uncultured bacterium
Lineage: Bacteria
Description: partial 16S ribosomal RNA
Rfam family: Bacterial small subunit ribosomal RNA
Source: RNAcentral
UACGUAGGUGGCAAGCGUUAUCCGGAAUUAUUGGGCGUAAAGAGCGCGCAGGUGGUUAAUUAAGUCUGAUGUGAAAGCCCACGGCUUAACCGUGGAGGGUCAUUGGAAACUGGGUGACUUGAGUGCAGAAGAGGGAAGUGGAAUUCCAUGUGUAGCGGUGAAAUGCGUAGAGAUAUGGAGGAACACCAGUGGCGAAGGCGGCUUCCUGGUCUGCAACUGACACUGAGGCGCGAAAGCGUGGGGAGCAAACAGG